GGGGGCCCGCAAGCGGUGGAGCAUGUGGUUUAAUUCGACGCAACGCGAAGAACCUUACCUGGGCUCGAAAUGCUGUGGACCAGCUUAUGAAAGUAGGCCUUCCCGCAAGGGACCGCAGUAUAGGUGCUGCAUGGCUGUCGUCAGCUCGUGUCGUGAGAUGUUGGGUUAAGUCCCGCAACGAGCGCAACCCUUGUCCUGUGUUGCCAUACCGAAAGGUGGAACUCGCAGGAGACCGCCAGGGAUAACCUGGAGGAAGGUGGGGAUGACGUCAAGUCCUCAUGGCCUUUAUGUCCAGGGCUACACACGUGCUACAAUGGACGGUACAAAGGGCUGCCAACCCGCGAGGGGGAGCCAAUCCCAAAAAACCGUUCUCAGUUCGGAUUGCAGGCUGCAACUCGCCUGCAUGAAGCUGGAAUCGCUAGUAAUGGCGGAUCAGAACGCCGCCGUGAAUACGUUCCCGGGCCUUGUACACACC
Molecule: ribosomal RNA, 475 nt
Filed under: uncultured bacterium
Lineage: Bacteria
Description: bacterial SSU rRNA
Rfam family: Bacterial small subunit ribosomal RNA
Source: RNAcentral